Molecule: non-coding RNA, 194 nt
Organism: Brochothrix thermosphacta
Lineage: Bacteria; Bacillati; Bacillota; Bacilli; Caryophanales; Listeriaceae
Source: Rfam
CUAUAAUUAAGGAUAGAAAGUAUAACAAAUCGAUAUGUAUUAAGAUGUAGGGAAAGAGGUGUAAUUCCUCUACAGCCCCAAUCUACUGUGAGAAGGACGAAAUCUCAAUGACCACUGAAUAGUUAGCUAUUUGGGAAGGUGAGAGAGUAGGAUGAAUUUUAGUCAGAAUACCUCGCUUAAUACUUAUAGUUACU